This 253-nucleotide ribosomal RNA is filed under the name uncultured bacterium. Its description in RNAcentral is "partial 16S ribosomal RNA". It matches the Rfam family "Bacterial small subunit ribosomal RNA", at positions 524 to 776 of the family's 1533-position model. The record is from RNAcentral.
UACGUAGGGGGCAAGCGUUGUCCGGAAUCAUUGGGCGUAAAGCGCGUGUAGGCGGCCAGGUAAGUCCGUUCUGAAAGCCCGGGGCUCAACCCCGGGAGGCGGAUGGAUACUGCUUGGCUCGAGUCCGGAAGAGGCGAGUGGAAUUCCCGGUGUAGCGGUGAAAUGCGCAGAUAUCGGGAGGAGCACCAAUGGCGAAGGCAGCUCGCUGGGACGGUACUGACGCUGAGACGCGAAAGCGUGGGGAGCAAACAGG